CCUACGGGAGGCAGCAGUAGGGAAUCUUCCACAAUGGACGAAAGUCUGAUGGAGCAACGCCGCGUGAGUGAAGAAGGGUUUCGGCUCGUAACGCUCUGUUGGUAGUGAAGAAAGAUAGAGGUAGUAACUGGCCUUUAUUUGACGGUAAUUACUUAGAAAGUCACGGCUAACUACGUGCCAGCAGCCGCGGUAAUACGUAGGUGGCAAGCGUUGUCCUGAUUGAGUGGGCGUAAGGCGAGUGCAGGCGGUUCAAUAAGUCUGAUGUGAAAGCCUUCGGCUCAACCGGAGAAUUGCAUCAGAAACUGUUGAACUUUAGUGCAGAAGAGGAUAGUGGAACGCCAUGUGUAGCGGUGGAAUGCGUAGAUAUAUGGAAGAACACCAGUGGCGAAGGCGGCUCUCUGGUCUGCAACUGACGCUGAGGCUCGAAAGCAUGGGUAGCGAACAGGAUUAGAUACCCCAGUAGUC
Molecule: ribosomal RNA, 465 nt
Filed under: uncultured bacterium
Lineage: Bacteria
Description: partial 16S ribosomal RNA
Rfam family: Bacterial small subunit ribosomal RNA
Source: RNAcentral